This is a long non-coding RNA of Cynara cardunculus var. scolymus (artichoke), 201 nucleotides long. RefSeq lists it as uncharacterized. The transcript is spliced from 3 exons. Lineage: Eukaryota; Viridiplantae; Streptophyta; Magnoliopsida; Asterales; Asteraceae. The record is from RefSeq and is a predicted model, not a curated record.
CAAAAAAGUCUGGAAUCCUGGGUUACUAAUUGGUGGAAUACUAGGCAAUCCGAAACUUUUUUGAAUGAUAUUGAAGAAAAGAGUAUUCUAGAAAAAUUCAUAGAAUUAGAGGAACUCCUCUUCUUAGAGGAAAUGAUCAAGGAAUACUCGGAGACACAUCUACAAAACCUUCGUAUAGGAAUUCACAUAGAAACAAUCCAA